UCAGCCCUACGCUCUUCUCCAGGUCCAGUCCAGUCAGGCCUGAGUCGCCAACUGCUCCAUUGCAAGAGCGCUCGCCCGCGACCAGGCGCUGGAGGCGGCCGCCGGGCAGUCGCCAGGCGACACGCCGCCAUACGGACCCGCGGCCACCGCCCCUCUGACGCGUUGCGCCACUCCGCGCACACCACUUCAGCGCCAGGCCCUCAGCCACCGGCACCAGCUGCGUCCUGAACCGCAUCUGGGUAGGUCCGAGCCAAGCCUCAGCUGCUGCUGCUGCUGCGAGCGCCCCAUCCAUCAAUCCAUCCAUCCAUCCAUCCAUCCCCUGGCCUGGUUGCGUUUACUCCAGCUUGUCGAUGACGGCCUUGGUGAAGUCGGAGGUGGUGGCGUUGCCGCCCAGGUCCGCGGUGCGGUACUUGCCCUCUGUGCAAGUGGGCGGGUGGGCGGGGUUCGGUGGGAGCAAGUGAGGCUAGGUGCCGGAGCGCUCAGGGGUGUGAGCUCACGCCAUUUGCGGCCUCGCGCAGUGCCCGCACCACUCAGCAGGCAACCUAAACCCCUGCCGUCUUCAGCUGCAACCCCUGGCCC
This 579-nucleotide long non-coding RNA is filed under the name Chlamydomonas reinhardtii. RNAcentral describes it as "long non-coding RNA (CREI_LNC000185)". The record is from RNAcentral. Lineage: Eukaryota; Viridiplantae; Chlorophyta; Chlorophyceae; Chlamydomonadales; Chlamydomonadaceae.